This 217-nucleotide long non-coding RNA is filed under the name Lathyrus oleraceus (garden pea). RNAcentral describes it as "Pisum sativum (pea) long non-coding RNA (PSAT_LNC016083)". The record is from RNAcentral. Lineage: Eukaryota; Viridiplantae; Streptophyta; Magnoliopsida; Fabales; Fabaceae.
AGUCCUCCUAAGUGAAGAGGCAAUUGACAGAUAGAAGGGAUUAGCAAUCAAUCCCCUGUUAUUCAGUGAGUCGUUCAUUAUGCUCGCACUACGUCAUGUUAUUUGAUAAGUCCUCCUAAGUGAAGAGGCAAUUGACAGAUAGAAGGGAUUAGCAAUCAAUCCCCUGUUAUUCAGUGAGUCGUUCAUUAUGCUCGCACUACGUGCUGAUGCUCUUGAA